UAUCACUUCUAUUCCUGGUGCUUGUGAUCACGUGGUGCCUGCUUGAGGACUCGUCUGGAGCCCGCAGGUGGCGACGUCGGUGGAGCGUCAGGAGGAUCCUUAAACCCAUUUGUAAAGAGAAGUGUAUAGUAAAAUGUGAGACGGCUUGUCCGAUAUGCACUCCAGUUUGUGGAAAAUCCUGCAAAAUAUUGUGUGGCAGAAAGAGAAGUCUAAGUUCCGAUACCCCCCGCUCUUCCUUGUGACUUUACCGCUUGGGACAAAAAUAGCGAUGGUCAUGUAGACUUCGAGGAAUUUUCUACUCUUGCUACUCAAGUAGCUGCUGCAAAAGAACUGACCCUGGCUUUCCAAGCUACAGAUACAGAUAGUAACCAGCAAAUUUCGAAGGCUGAACUCCAUAAGGCAACCUUUCUGUUCAACAAAUGUUCAUAAUGUGGAGAAGAAAUGUUAAUU
Molecule: long non-coding RNA, 450 nt
Organism: Saccostrea cuccullata (small rock oyster)
Lineage: Eukaryota; Metazoa; Mollusca; Bivalvia; Ostreida; Ostreidae
Exons: 3
Source: RefSeq, a predicted model, not a curated record